Molecule: ribosomal RNA, 253 nt
Filed under: uncultured bacterium
Lineage: Bacteria
Description: partial 16S ribosomal RNA
Rfam family: Bacterial small subunit ribosomal RNA
Source: RNAcentral
UACAGAGGGUGCGAGCGUUGUCCGGAAUUACUGGGCGUAAAGGGCGCGUAGGCGGCCCGAUAAGUAGGACGUGAAAUUCCGCGGCUCAACCGCGGAACUGCGUUCUAGACUGUCAGGCUUGAGCACGGUAGAGGCAGAUGGAAUUCCCGGUGUAGCGGUGGAAUGCGUAGAGAUCGGGAAGAACACCAGUGGCGAAGGCGGCGUUCUGGACUGCAACUGACACUGAGGAACGAAAGCCAGGGGAGCAAACGGG